ACAAUAUAUUCUUAUUAUGUUAUAAAUUAUGAACUCUUAAAUUUUUAAACGAUGAUUAUCAUUGUGCAUGUGCUCAACUCCCAUUUAAAUUUGAUCCAAUAAUUAAAUGAUAAAAAAAGGAUAAUGAGUUAAAUCAAAAGGUCAGAAUAUAUCAAUAUAAAAGGUCAUAAUUUGACAACUAUAAUUACAGAAGUAAAUUAACCAAA
Molecule: unclassified non-coding RNA, 206 nt
Filed under: Hevea brasiliensis (rubber tree)
Lineage: Eukaryota; Viridiplantae; Streptophyta; Magnoliopsida; Malpighiales; Euphorbiaceae
Source: RNAcentral